CUAAAUCCUACCUGACCCUAAAUCAUACCUAAACCUAGACCUUAACCCUAUCUAACCCUAAACCCUACAUAAACAAAACCAUAAUCACUAAACCCUUCAUACUACCUAAACCCUAAACCUAUCAAAUCGUAAACUAACCCUAAACCUAAACCCUACCUAACCCUAAACCCUACUAACCCUAAACCCUACUAACCUUAAACCCUACUAACCCUAAACCCUACCUAACCCUAAACCCUACCUACCCUAAACCCUUUCUAACCCUAAACCCUACCUAACCCUAAACCUCUUCUAACCCUAAACCCUACCUAACCCUAAACCCUUUCUAGCCCUAAUUCCUACUAACCCUAAACCCUUCUAACCCUAAACCAUGCUAACCCUAAACCCUACCUAAUUCUAAACCCUACCUAACCCUAACCCUACAUAACCCUAAACCCUACUAACCCUAAACCCUACCUAACCGAAACGCUACCUAACCCUAAAACCAUUCUAACCCUAAACCCUUUCUAACCCUAAACCAUUCUAACCCUAAACCCUUUCUAACCCUAAACCCUACUAACUCUAAACCCUACUAACCCUAAACCCUAUUAACCCUAAACCCGACAUAACCCUAAACCCUACUAACCCUAAAACCUACCCAAUUCUAAACCCUACCUAACCCUAAACCCCAUGUAACCCUAAAACCUACCUAACCCUAAACCCUACUGAACCCUAAACCCUACCUAACCCUAAACCCUACCAACCCUAAACCCUACUUAACCC
RNAcentral lists this long non-coding RNA (759 nucleotides) under Brassica napus (rape). RNAcentral's name for it is "long non-coding RNA (BNAP_LNC006242)". Lineage: Eukaryota; Viridiplantae; Streptophyta; Magnoliopsida; Brassicales; Brassicaceae. The record is from RNAcentral.